UGGAUGUGAUGAACUGUCUUAGCCUGAGCUUAUAGUGUGAAGAUAAAAAAAAAAUGGUUUAAUGUAUUC
Molecule: small nucleolar RNA, 69 nt
Filed under: Sus scrofa (pig)
Lineage: Eukaryota; Metazoa; Chordata; Mammalia; Artiodactyla; Suidae
Also listed under: 1 other name
Source: RNAcentral